GUCUAUGGCCAUACCACCCUGAACAUGCCUGAUGGAAAGCUAAGCAGGGUCGGGUCUGGUUAGUACUUGGAUGGGAGACAAAUAGAUCAUCUAAGUAGAAGCUCAGAGCUCUACU
This is a ribosomal RNA of Gorilla gorilla gorilla (western lowland gorilla), 115 nucleotides long. The record is from Ensembl. Lineage: Eukaryota; Metazoa; Chordata; Mammalia; Primates; Hominidae.